CCUACGGGCGACAGCAGUGAGGAAUAUUGGUCAAUGGACGAGAGUCUGAACCAGCCAAGUAGCGUGAAGGAUGACUGCCCUAUGGGUUGUAAACUUCUUUUAUAAAGGAAUAAAACGAGGCACGUGUGCCUUUUUGCAUGUACUUUAUGAAUAAGGAUCGGCUAACUCCGUGCCAGCAGCCGCGGUAAUACGGAGGAUCCGAGCGUUAUCCGGAUUUAUUGGGUUUAAAGGGAGCGUAGAUGGGUUGUUAAGUCAGUUGUGAAAGUUUGCGGCUCAACCGUAAAAUUGCAAUUGAUACUGGCAGUCGUGAGUACAGUUGAGGUAGGCGGAAUUCGUGGUGUAGCGGUGAAAUGCUUAGAUAUCACGAAGAACCCCGAUUGCGAAGGCAGCUUACUAAACUGUGACUGACAUUGAUGCUCGAAAGUGUGGGUAUCAAACAGGAUUAGAUACCCCAGUAGUC
RNAcentral lists this ribosomal RNA (460 nucleotides) under uncultured bacterium. RNAcentral describes it as "partial 16S ribosomal RNA". It matches the Rfam family "Bacterial small subunit ribosomal RNA", at positions 338 to 795 of the family's 1533-position model. The record is from RNAcentral.